GAAUCCUACGGGAGGCAGCAGUGAGGAAUAUUGGUCAAUGGGCGAGAGCCUGAACCAGCCAAGUCGCGUGAAGGAUGACGGCCCUACGGGUUGUAAACUUCUUUUGUCAGGGAGCAGUUGGGUCCACGCGUGGGCUUAGCGAGAGUACCUGAAGAAAAAGCAUCGGCUAACUCCGUGCCAGCAGCCGCGGUAAUACGGAGGAUGCGAGCGUUAUCCGGAUUUAUUGGGUUUAAAGGGUGCGUAGGCGGACUGUUAAGUCAGCGGUAAAAGCCCGGGGCUCAACCCCGGCGAGCCGUUGAAACUGG
Molecule: ribosomal RNA, 305 nt
Filed under: uncultured bacterium
Lineage: Bacteria
Description: bacterial SSU rRNA
Rfam family: Bacterial small subunit ribosomal RNA
Source: RNAcentral